CAGCCGCCGCGGUAAUACGAAGGGUGCAAGCGUUAAUCGGAAUUACUGGGCGUAAAGCGUGCGUAGGCGGUGAGUUAAGUCUGCUGUGAAAUCCCCGGGCUCAACCUGGGAAUGGCAGUGGAUACUGGCUCGCUAGAGUGUGUCAGAGGAUGGUGGAAUUCCCGGUGUAGCGGUGAAAUGCGUAGAGAUCGGGAGGAACAUCAGUGGCGAAGGCGGCCAUCUGGGACAACACUGACGCUGAGGCACGAAAGCGUGGGGAGCAAACAGGAUUAGAUACCCGAGUAGUCCCUGUCUCUUAUAC
RNAcentral lists this ribosomal RNA (301 nucleotides) under uncultured bacterium. RNAcentral's name for it is "partial 16S ribosomal RNA". It matches the Rfam family "Bacterial small subunit ribosomal RNA", at positions 509 to 807 of the family's 1533-position model. The record is from RNAcentral.